GCUUGCACCUUUCAAGCGAGUGGCGAACGGGUGAGUAACACGUGGAUAACCUGCCUCAAGGCUGGGGAUAACAUUUGGAAACAGAUGCUAAUACCGAAUAAAACUUAGUAUCGCAUGAUACAAAGUUGAAAGGCGCUACGGCGUCACCUAGAGAUGGGUCCGCGGUGCAUUAGUUAGUUGGUGGGGUAAAGGCCUACCAAGACAAUGAUGCAUAGCCGAGUUGAGAGACUGAUCGGCCACAUUGGGACUGAGACACGGCCCAAACUCCUACGGGAGGCUGCAGUAGGGAAUCUUCCACAAUGGGCGAAAGCCUGAUGGAGCAACGCCGCGUGUGUGAUGAAGGCUUUAGGGUCGUAAAGCACUGUUGUAUGGGAAGAAAUGCUAGAAUAGGGAAUGAUUCUAGUUCGACGGUACCAUACCAGAAAGGGACGGCUAAAUACGUGCCAGCAGCCGCGGUAAUACGUAUGUCCCGAGCGUUAUCCGGAUUUAUUGGGCGUAAAGCGAGCGCAGACGGUUGAUUAAGUCUGAUGUGAAAGCCCGGAGCUCAACUCCGGAAUGGCAUUGGAAACUGGUUAACUUGAGUGUUGUAGAGGUAAGUGGAACUCCUUGUGUAAACGGGU
RNAcentral lists this ribosomal RNA (620 nucleotides) under Leuconostoc lactis. RNAcentral's name for it is "bacterial SSU rRNA". It matches the Rfam family "Bacterial small subunit ribosomal RNA", at positions 78 to 684 of the family's 1533-position model. Lineage: Bacteria; Bacillati; Bacillota; Bacilli; Lactobacillales; Lactobacillaceae. The record is from RNAcentral.